UACGUAGGGCGCAAGCGUUAUCCGGAAUUAUUGGGCGUAAAGAGCUCGUAGGCGGUUUGUCGCGUCUGCCGUGAAAAGUCCGGGGGCUCAACUCCGGAUCUGCGGUGGGUACGGGGCAGACUAGAGUGAUGUAGGGGGAGACUGGAAUUCCUGGGUGUAGCGGUGAAAAUGCGCAGAUAUCAGGAGGAACACCGGUGGCGAAGGCGGGUCUCUGGGCCGUAACUGACGCUGAGGAGCGAAAGCAUGGGGGAGCGAACAGG
RNAcentral lists this ribosomal RNA (260 nucleotides) under uncultured bacterium. RNAcentral's name for it is "partial 16S ribosomal RNA". It matches the Rfam family "Bacterial small subunit ribosomal RNA", at positions 524 to 776 of the family's 1533-position model. The record is from RNAcentral.